ACCAACGGAAAGGGAUCCUGUCAGGUUGGAGUAGAAAGAAGACAAGAGCAACGGAAAGGGAUCCUGUCAGGUUGGAGUAGAAAGAAGACGAGACCAACGGGAAAGGGAUCCUGUCAGGUUGGAGUAGAAAGAAGACGAGACCAACGGAAAGGGAUCCUGUCAGGUUGGAGUAGAAAGAAGACGAGACCAACGGAAAGGGAUCCUGUCAGGUUGGAGUAGAAAGAAGACAAGAGCGACGGAAAGGGAUCCUGUCAGGUUGGAGUAGAAAGAAGACGAGACCAACGGGAAAGGGAUCCUGUCAGGUUGCCAGUUGCCUUCAUUCUCACACAGAAUCCAGCCUUGCUGACCAGACGCAAUUGUCCUGUUUUUUUACAACUUUUUCAUCUGGCCUCCAUUAAUUUAGUCACCCUAAUUCUGGCCAUCAUCCUACAACGGUAAAAACUCCAAUAUCUUCUGAACAGAUUAUGAUAGAGACAUGACGUUUGGACCGUAGGUUUUCUUAGAGGAGUAUCUACACAAUUAACAUAUUGAUCUACAGUAUUGGUAAAAAUAUGCGUUUUUGAUUUGGCACCAUACUGUUGGGCUACUGUUUUGAAUCAGGGUUAUUUCUCGUCUUUAGAUUAAUGAGGCUUAAUUUACUUUUAAGAGAUGGCUAGAACAUUUUCUCAAUUACUCAAAUGGACAUUUGAGUACAAUCUAGUCUAGCCUAUAUUUGUGCAAUGGUUCUUCAUACAGGGGUCAGAGGAGCUCGGCUUGCUCCGUACCAUCUCCCAAGCCUCACGAGAGGAAAGAAAGCCCUCCUCUUCACCCAGAAUGAGGGCAGUGAGUUUGUCCAUAUAAAACUCUCACUGGGAUAACCUUCCCGUGCAAAUAUCAGGAAACAGGAAGAUCUCGUUGAAAGGUCUUUAUAUAGACUGACACCUAAGGUUGUAAUGGCAGAUUAAAACCUAGAGGUGACAGGCGACCUCCUUGUAUCAUCCCACCAGGUGUAACAAACCUCUAGAGAUUGAAGGAGAGAACAUGAAUUAGUCAACAUGUUACAUUUCCGUCAGUUAACAGAUAAGUGACGGUCUACCGGAUGAUUCUCAGUGUGCUUUUUCCACCACAGGUUGGCUCUUUCCUCAGGUCUGGACUGAUGAGGGACUCAACAUCUCAGAGUGCUGAUCCAGGAUGUGUUCUAGAUCCUAGUGAAUAUGAUUAUAUGAACAGGGGGGGAACCUGAUUCCAGAACAGCACUCCUACCCUUGGGGGCAGGUAGCCUAGCGGAUAGAGUUUGGCAAGUAACUGAAAAGGUUUGAAUACCCGAGCCGACAGGGUAAACAAAUCUGCCAAUGUGCUCUUGAGCAAAGCACUUAACCCUAAUUUGCUCCAGGGGUGCCAUACUACUAUGGCUGACCCUGUAGAACAACACAUUUCACUGCACCUAUCUGGUGUGAUGAGGGUACCAGCCUCUACAGGAUCUCAGUCCAGCCCAACAGGGUUCAUAAUUUGGCAACAAACGCACAGCGAGGGGCAAAUACUGUAUGUCAUGAAACAGGGGGAGGACUGCCAAGUUCCACCUUCCUAUGGUGGGGGGGAGCAUCUACUCAGCACAAACACAAGAGACUCAGAGGAAUGCACAUUGCCUACUUCAGCCAACAUGGAACAGACUUGACUGUGUCAAUCUGUUGAGCUGGGGCGGCUCACGCACACACACACACACACACACACACAGAGGAACGCAAGGCACUAACUGAGUCCUAUGCAGUGCGUGUUCUUGGAGGACAUGUCUGGAUAAGAAAAUACAUUUUCAUCAGAUAAGGAGGUACCGUUAACAAGAUGGCCGCCCUGAUUUCAUACAAUCACUCAUUAUUUUAAUGACGUAUAACAGCACUCAAUCACCCGAAGAAACAAUGCAUUUCCUUCCCUAGACGGCUUUCUUUUGGUCUCAGACGUGAAUGCUUACUUGAUUAGCCACUAGUGGCGAGUGCAUGGAGAGGAGCUCGUGGUUCUGUCCCAAAUGGUACCCUAUUCCCUACAUAGGGCACUACUUUUGCACAGGGCCCUGGUUAAAAGCAGUGCACUACAUAGAGAAUGGUGUGCCACUUGGGAGGGAGCCUUAUUCCUCUGUGAUUUAUAUCAGGGUAGUGCAGCUCUGUUGUGGAAUAUUGUUUCUAACGGAAUUCCCUUUUCCUUCCCCGCUUCCCAUCGACUUCAUUCUUUCCACAGAAUCCAUGACUACUGACAAACACUAGUUUUCCCAGUCUCUCACCAGCCUGCCUCCCAAUUGGCUCUCAGUCACAAGCGACAUCAGUUACAGAAAGGUGAAGGAGGAGGUGUGACGUAACAGUAACAAGGAACAGAACAGGACAGGUAGCAGAAUCGAUCGGGAUUCUGAAUGGAUGGUAAAAAUUAAUAUUAUUACGCUUUGUAAAUUCAGUAACUUCCCU
This is a long non-coding RNA of Oncorhynchus tshawytscha (Chinook salmon), 2429 nucleotides long. The record is from Ensembl. NCBI's taxonomy places the organism in Eukaryota, Metazoa, Chordata, Actinopteri, Salmoniformes, Salmonidae.